This 253-nucleotide ribosomal RNA is filed under the name uncultured bacterium. RNAcentral's name for it is "partial 16S ribosomal RNA". It matches the Rfam family "Bacterial small subunit ribosomal RNA", at positions 524 to 776 of the family's 1533-position model. The record is from RNAcentral.
UACGUAGGCAGCGAGCGUUGUUCGGAGUUACUGGGCGUAAAGGGCGCGUAGGCGGCCCGCUAAGUCGAACGUGAAAUCCCCGAGCUCAACUCGGGAACUGCGUCCGAUACUGGCGGGCUUGAAUCCGGAAGAGGCGAGUGGAAUUCCUGGUGUAGCGGUGAAAUGCGCAGAUAUCAGGAGGAACACCCAUUGCGAAGGCAGCUCGCUGGGACGUUACUGACGCUGAGACGCGAAAGCGUGGGGAGCAAACAGG